Molecule: non-coding RNA, 288 nt
Organism: Vigna umbellata (rice bean)
Lineage: Eukaryota; Viridiplantae; Streptophyta; Magnoliopsida; Fabales; Fabaceae
Source: RefSeq, a predicted model, not a curated record
CCUUGUAAUACAUCUAUGUAGUACCUCAAGCUGGAGAUGUGUAGAAACACUAGGUGAUUACUUAUCAGAAAGGAAUAUCAUGGGAAUUUAUGCAUCCAAAUUCUCUUCAGGAGGACAAAUAAAAAUCCUGUGCUGAUUGGUGAGCUUGGUGUUGGAAAGACUGCCAUUUCUGAAGGCAAUGAAGAGGAAUGCUCUUCAUGGACUGAGUGUGGCAAAAUUUUGCAAGUUGCUCAGUUCAAAUGCCAGACGUCUGCAACCUAUGAAUUAAAAGAGGAGUUGAAGAUAGGU